AACGAACGCUGGCGGCAUGCCUAACACAUGCAAGUCGAACGAGACCUUCGGGUCUAGUGGCGCACGGGUGAGUAACGCGUGGGAACCUGCCCUUAGGGUCGGAAUAACUCCCCGAAUGGGGUGCUAAUACCUGAUAAUGUCUUCGGACCAAAGAUUUUUCGACUGUGGAUGGGCCCGCGUUGGAUUAGCUAGUUGGUAGGGUAAAAGCCUACCAAGGCGACGAUCCAUAGCUGGUCUGAGAGGAUGAUCAGCCACACUGGGACUGAGACACGGCCCAGACUCCUACGGGAGGCAGCAGUGGGGAAUAUUGAACAAUGGGCGAAAGACUGAUACAGCAAUGCCGCGUGAGUGAUGAAGGCCUUAGGGUUGUAAAGCUCUUUUACCCGGGAUGAUAAUGACAGUACCGGGAGAAUAAGCCACGGCUAACUCCGUG
Molecule: ribosomal RNA, 433 nt
Filed under: uncultured bacterium
Lineage: Bacteria
Description: partial 16S ribosomal RNA
Rfam family: Bacterial small subunit ribosomal RNA
Source: RNAcentral